This 497-nucleotide ribosomal RNA is filed under the name uncultured bacterium. Its description in RNAcentral is "partial 16S ribosomal RNA". It matches the Rfam family "Bacterial small subunit ribosomal RNA", at positions 28 to 507 of the family's 1533-position model. The record is from RNAcentral.
GAUGAACGCUGGCGGCGUGCCUAAUACAUGCAAGUCGAGCGAACUGACGAGAAGCUUGCUUCUCUGAUGUUAGCGGCGGACGGGUGAGUAACACGUGGAUAACCUACCUAUAAGACUGGGAUAACUUCGGGAAACCGGAGCUAAUACCGGAUAAUAUUUUGAACCGCAUGGUUCAAAAGUGAAAGACGGUCUUGCUGUCACUUGUAGAUGGAUCCGCGCUGCAUUAGCUAGUUGGUAAGGUAACGGCUUACCAAGGCAACGAUGCAUAGCCGACCUGAGAGGGUGAUCGGCCACACUGGAACUGAGACACGGUCCAGACUCCUACGGGAGGCAGCAGUAGGGAAUCUUCCGCAAUGGGCGAAAGCCUGACGGAGCAACGCCGCGUGAGUGAUGAAGGUCUUCGGAUCGUAAAACUCUGUUAUUAGGGAAGAACAUAUGUGUAAGUAACUGUGCACAUCUUGACGGUACCUAAUCAGAAAGCCACGGCUAACUACGUG